UAAGUCUCUGGUGAAAUCCUGCAGCUUAACUGUGGGAAUUGCUGGAGAUACUAUUAGACUUGAGACCGGGAGAGGUUAGAGGUACUCCCAGGGUAGAGGUGAAAUUCUGUAAUCCUGGGAGGACCGCCUGUUGCGAAGGCGUCUAACUGGAACGGUUCUGACGGUGAGGGACGAAAGUUAGGGGCGCGAACCGGAUUAGGAUACCCCGGGUAGUCCUAACUGUAAACGAUGCGGACUUGGUGUUGGGGUGGCUUUGAGCCGCUUCAGUGCCGAAGGGAAGCUGUUAAGUCCGCCGCCUGGGAAGUACGGUCGCAAGACUGAAACUUAAGGAAUUGGCGGGGGAGCACCACAACGCGUGGAGCCUGCCGGUUUAAUUGGAUUCAACGCCGGACAUCUCACCAGAGGCGACAGCUGUAUGAUAGCCAGGUUGAUGACUUUGCUUGACUAGCUGAGAGGUGGUGCAUGG
Molecule: ribosomal RNA, 466 nt
Filed under: uncultured archaeon
Lineage: Archaea
Description: bacterial SSU rRNA
Rfam family: Archaeal small subunit ribosomal RNA
Source: RNAcentral